UUAAGGCAUGGCACACAUUUCCCAUAGCCGUGUUAGUUCAGAUGGAGUUUAUAGUUUCUAGGGCUCCUAUUCAUCCAGGAUGUGCAAUUUCCUACUGAGGCUGGUGGGGAAUGAUAAUGUUCUGAUAGUAAGUUGGGAAAAGGAGAUACAAAAAGAAAUUUCUAUGGGUAAUUAUAAAUGUUACAUAAGGUGAAGAAUGUGCUGGUUGGAGUAAAUCGUAAGGUUAGAAUU
RNAcentral lists this unclassified non-coding RNA (231 nucleotides) under Hevea brasiliensis (rubber tree). Lineage: Eukaryota; Viridiplantae; Streptophyta; Magnoliopsida; Malpighiales; Euphorbiaceae. The record is from RNAcentral.